GAUGAACGCUGGCGGCGUGCUUAACACAUGCAAGUCGAACGAGAAGUGAAGACGGAAACCUUCGGGCGGAAGGCUUUAUUUCGAGUGGCGGACGGGUGAGUAACGCGUGGGUAACCUGCCUCAUACAGGGGGAUAACAGUUGGAAACGACUGUUAAUACCGCAUAAGACCACAGCACCGCAUGGUGCGGGGGUAAAAACUCCGGUGGUAUGAGAUGGACCCGCGUUCGAUUAGCCAGUUGGCGGGGUAACGGCCCACCAAAGCGACGAUCGAUAGCCGAUCUGAGAGGGUGACCGGCCAAAUUGGAACGGAGCCCCGGCCCAAACCCCAACGGGAGGCAGCAGGGGGAAAAAUUGCCAAAGGGGGGAAACCCUGAUGCAGCGACGCCGGGGGAGAGAAGAAGUUUUUCGGUAUGUAAAGCUCUUUCCGCAGGGAAAAAAAGGGCGGUACCUGAAGAAGAAGCCCCGGCAAACUAAGU
RNAcentral lists this ribosomal RNA (477 nucleotides) under uncultured bacterium. Its description in RNAcentral is "partial 16S ribosomal RNA". It matches the Rfam family "Bacterial small subunit ribosomal RNA", at positions 28 to 506 of the family's 1533-position model. The record is from RNAcentral.